ACUCCUCAGUGCUAUCGUGUAUUUGCUCUCGCGAGGAUUGUUCUAAGCGCUCAGAUCCAUAUUAUAUAGAGUUUAUUUUUUUGGGCCCGGAGAAAACACAAGCAAACCGCCAACAUGGACGCCAUUAAAAAGAAGAUGCAAGCCAUGAAGCUUGAGAAGGACAAUGCCAUGGACAAGGCCGAUACCUGCGAGAAUCAGGCCAAGGAUGCCAAUCUUCGUGCGGAGAAGGUCAACGAGGAGGUCAAUGAGCUCCAAAAGAAACUUGUCCAAGUUGAAGCCGAUUUGGAAACCGCCAAGCAACAAUUGGACCAAGCCAACAAAGACUUGGAAGAGAAGGAAAAGCAAUUGACUGCCACUGAAGCUGAAGUUGCCGCUCUUAAUCGCAAGGUCCAACAAAUUGAGGAAGAUUUGGAGAAAUCCGAGGAACGCUCCAACAGUGCCACGCAAAAGUUGUUGGAAGCCACCACAAUGGCUGAUGAGAACAACCGUAUGUGCAAGGUAUUGGAAAACCGUGCUCAACAAGAUGAAGAGCGCAUGGACCAACUUUCCAACCAAUUGAAGGAAGCUCGUCUCCUCGCUGAGGAUGCUGACGGUAAAUCCGAUGAAGUAUCACGCAAGCUCGCCUUCGUUGAAGACGAAUUAGAAGUCGCUGAGGACCGUGUCAAGUCUGGCGAAGCCAAGAUCAUGGAACUUGAAGAAGAAUUGAAGGUCGUAGGAAACUCCCUUAAAUCUCUUGAAGUCUCCGAAGAGAAGGCCAACCAAAGAGUCGAAGAAUUCAAGCGUCAAUUGAAGACUCUCACUGGCAAAUUGAAGGAGGCCGAAGCCCGUGCCGAACAAGCCGAGAAAUCUGUCAAGAAGCUCCAAAAGGAAGUCGACAGACUAGAAGACAAAUUGUUACAUGAAAAAGAAAAGUACAAGGCGAUUUGCGACGAUUUGGAUGCCACAUUUGCUGAACUCACAGGAUAUUAAUUCGAAUUCGAACAAAAACUUUAUAAGAAAAAAAAAAUAUACAGACAGAAACACAGAAAGAUUUCAAAAGAAACAAAUUUCACUUCAGUUCUCUCUCUUUAUCUCUCAUUUUUUUAUCCUUUUUUUACUAUCAUUUUAAUUAUUUCGUUUGAUUAUUAUAUUUUAUUAUUAGAUUUUUGUUAUUUUUUUACACACACCUUCCAAAAAAUUCAAAAAUUUAAUUUUGAAUCAAAAAAAAAUUUCCAAAUUAAUUUUUUUAGUCACUUUUUUUGUUUAUGAAUGAAAAAUUUGCUUCGUUCAAAAAAAUUUUUUAGACAUAGAAGUGUUUUUUUUAUCCCAUAAAUUUUCUUAUGAUUUUUAUCGUCGAUGAAACGCUGCUGUGAUUUCAAUUUUCUUUGAAUUUUGGAUAAACUUCGUUGCAAAAGCCUUAUGGGAAAGAACUUUUUGGGGAUGAUACAAAAAAAAAUUAAAAUAAAGCUUGACUAAUUCUCUCUACUUUUUGCUUGGCUUCUAAAUUUUUUGAAAUUAUUUUAAUAAAAAUACUGCCACACAUAACAUUAUAACACAAAAUAAAAACACUGCUUGAUAAUAUUUAAAAAAAAAAAAAAAUAAAUAAACAAUAUUGUAACAGAAUUUAAUAGAACAAAAAAAAAUUAAUAAAUUAAAUAAAAUAAAAUAUUGCGCGCACUAAUUUUCAACUAAAGUCUUCUGAAUUGGCAACCAUGGACGAGACAUGAGCGCUUUAUAACAUUUAACAUCGUACAUUUAAAAGACGAAUUGGGCAUCAACAAGGACAGAUACAAGUCUCUUGCCGACGAGAUGGAUUCAACAUUCGCAGAAUUGGCUGGCUAUUAAAUAUCCAUUUGUACUUUAUAUAUAUAUUAUAUACCUUUAAUGUGUGUAUAAAGCAAUCAUUUUGUGCAAUCAAUUAAAGAUAUAAAAAAACGAACAUCAACAUA
This is an RNA transcript of Culicoides brevitarsis, 1928 nucleotides long. It is a transcript of the gene named tropomyosin-1, with no coding region annotated. The record is from RefSeq and is a predicted model, not a curated record. NCBI's taxonomy places the organism in Eukaryota, Metazoa, Arthropoda, Insecta, Diptera, Ceratopogonidae. The transcript is spliced from 6 exons.